Molecule: ribosomal RNA, 383 nt
Filed under: uncultured bacterium
Lineage: Bacteria
Description: partial 16S ribosomal RNA
Rfam family: Bacterial small subunit ribosomal RNA
Source: RNAcentral
UGGGAAUUUUGGACGAAUUGGGCGAAGCUGAUCCAGCAAUGCCGCGUGUGUGAAGAAGGCCUUCGGGUUGUAAAGCACUUUUGUCCGGAAAGAAAUCCUUGGCUCUAAUACAGUCGGGGGAUGACGGUACCGGAAGAAUAGGCACCGGCUAACUACGUGCCAGCAGCCGCGGUAAUACGUAGGGUGCAAGCGUUAAUCGGAAUUACUGGGCGUAAAGCGUGCGCAGGCGGUUUGCUAAGACCGAUGUGAAAUCCCCGGGCUCAACCUGGGAACUGCAUUGGUGACUGGCAGGCUAGAGUAUGGCAGAGGGGGGUGAGAAUUCCACGUGUAGCAGUGAAAUGCGUAGAGAUGUGGAGGAAUACCGAUGGCGAAGGCAGCCCCCU